RNAcentral lists this ribosomal RNA (780 nucleotides) under Triticum aestivum (bread wheat). RNAcentral's name for it is "partial small subunit ribosomal RNA". Lineage: Eukaryota; Viridiplantae; Streptophyta; Magnoliopsida; Poales; Poaceae. The record is from RNAcentral.
AUGGACGUCAGAAUACUGAAGGAGACCCUUGACUGCACAGUCUGCUUCGAGCACUUCAGGACUGAGAUUUAUCAGUGUUCUGUUGGGCAUUUCAUAUGCUCGUCUUGCCGCGACAAGAUACUGGACAAGAAGUGCCCCACAUGCUCUAUCAAAACUUCCUUCAAGCGCUGUUUUGGGAUGGAACAUGUCAUCCAGUCAGUCACAUUUCCUUGCUCCAAUGCCAAGUAUGGAUGCAGAGAGGGUCACGAAUACUAUCAGAAAGAAGGACAUGAGCAGGUAUGCCCGUAUGCCCCAUGCUUCUGCCCAGCGUCCGACUGCAGCUUCACUGGGCUGACACACGAGCUCCUGGACCAUCUCACCAUCUAUCACAUGUCUCCAUGUACAGACCUCCCAUAUCAUGGGACGGUGUCUCUCCGCUUAGAACCUGGCAUAAAUGUUCUGGCACCCCGCAACAAGAGCAACAACCAUUUUUUCAUGCUCAACAUGGAGCCAGAGCGUCUUGGAUAUGCUAUCUCAGUCGUCUGCGUCCAACCUAAUGCUACGGAACCCAAGUUCGCAUGUAGUAUGAGUUAUGACUGCUCUGGGACAGGUUAUUGUGGAAGUGCAAGUUGCCAAAUAAAAAGCUCUACACUCUCUGAUGGGCUACCGACGGACUACGACUUAAUUCCUCCCAAGGGAAAGAUUUCUGGUGAUCGAAAAUUUAUGAUGCUCAGAAUAACAAUUCAUCACGCUUCAAGUGUUGCGACGGGAGGGGUAGGAGCACCGGGGUUCAUCACUCGC